Non-coding RNA from Thalictrum thalictroides, 90 nucleotides. Lineage: Eukaryota; Viridiplantae; Streptophyta; Magnoliopsida; Ranunculales; Ranunculaceae. The record is from the annotation of a GenBank genome assembly.
GUUGGGCAAAUGAGAAAGAAACCUUCUACAAAUGGGUAAUUUGCGUCUGAAUCAUGUUGAUGCUAUCACCUUGGAGAUUUGAUUCCUAUU